Molecule: ribosomal RNA, 2055 nt
Filed under: Taylorella equigenitalis
Lineage: Bacteria; Pseudomonadati; Pseudomonadota; Betaproteobacteria; Burkholderiales; Alcaligenaceae
Description: bacterial LSU rRNA
Rfam family: Bacterial large subunit ribosomal RNA
Source: RNAcentral
GUUAUAGGAUCAAGUGACUAAGUGCACAUGGUGGAUGCCUUGGCGAUCACAGGCGAAGAAGGACGUAAUAGCUUGCGAAAAGCUGCGGGGAGUUGGCAAAUGAGCAUUGAUCCGCAGAUAUCCGAAUGGGGAAACCCACCUCUUAGGAGGUAUCCUUAUCUGAAUACAUAGGGUGAGGAGGCGAACCGAGUGAACUGAAACAUCUAAGUAACUCGAGGAAAAGAAAUCAACCGAGAUUCUGAAAGUAGUGGCGAGCGAAAUUGGAGUAGCCGCAACGAGAUAGUAGUUGUAGUAGUCGAACGCAUUGGGAAGUGCGACCGUAGGGGGUGAUAGUCCUGUAGACGAAACUAUGAUUAUGGUACUAGGCGUUGCAACAAGUAGGGCGGGACACGUGUAAUCCUGUUCGAAUAUGGGGGGACCAUCCUCCAAGGCUAAAUACUCGUGAUCGACCGAUAGUGAACCAGUACCGUGAGGGAAAGGCGAAAAGAACCCCGGGAGGGGAGUGAAAUAGAACCUGAAACCGUGUGCAUACAAACAGUCGGAGCCGAGAGGUGACGGCGUACCUUUUGUAUAAUGGGUCAGCGACUUACAUUCAGUGGCAAGCUUAACCGAGUAGGGAAGGCGAAGCGAAAGCGAGUCCGAAUAGGGCGAAUAUAGUCGCUGGGUGUAGACCCGAAACCAGAUGAUCUAUCCAUGGUCAGGUUGAAGGUGCCGUAACAGGUACUGGAGGACCCAACCCACUAAUGUUGAAAAAUUAGGGGAUGAGCUGUGGAUAGGGGUGAAAGGCUAAACAAAUCUGGAAAUAGCUGGUUCUCUCCGAAAACUAUUUAGGUAGUGCCUCAUGAAUAACUGUUGGGGGUAGAGCACUGUUAUGGCUAGGGGGUCAUGGCGACUUACCAAACCAUGGCAAACUCCGAAUACUGACAAGUUUAAUCAUGGGAGACAGAGCACUGGGUGCUAACGUCCAGACUCAAGAGGGAAACAACCCAGACCGCCAGCUAAGGUCCCUAAAAUUGGCUAAGUGGGAAACGAAGUGGGAAGGCAUAGACAGUCAGGAGGUUGGCUUAGAAGCAGCCACCCUUUAAAGAAAGCGUAAUAGCUCACUGAUCGAGUCGUCCUGCGCGGAAGAUGUAACGGGGCUAAGCCAGUUACCGAAGCUGCGGAUGCAUCCGCUCUUUUAAUUUGUUUAUGUAGAGUUAAGAAGAAGUAGAAAAAGAAGUAAGUGGAUAGACGAAUUAAGAGAGCGGAUGUGUGGUAGGAGAGCGUUCUGUAAGCCUGAGAAGGUGAAUCGAGAGGUUUGCUGGAGGUAUCAGAAGUGCGAAUGCUGACAUGAGUAGCGAUAAAGGGAGUGAAAGGCUCCCUCGCCGUAAGUCCAAGGAUUCCUGCGCAACGUUCAUCGGCGCAGGGUUAGUCGGCCCCUAAGGUGAGGCAGAGAUGCGUAGCUGAUGGGAAGUGGGUUAAUAUUCCUACACCGAUAUGUGAAGUGAAGGGGGGACGGAUUGCGAAAUGUGAACGAGCUGAUGGAAGUGCUCGGUAUUGUAGCUAAGAAGUUGAUUAGGCAAAUCCGGUCAAAGGAUUCAAGGCUAUGAUUCGAAGAAGACGUAAUGUUUUUGAAGUCACAGGAAGUGGUUCCAAGAAAAGCCUCUAAGCGAUAAUUUACAUAUUGACCGUACCGCAAACCGACACAGGUGGACGGGAUGAAUAUUCCAAGGCGCUUGAGAGAACUCAGGAGAAGGAACUCGGCAAAUUGAUACCGUAACUUCGGGAGAAGGUAUGCCUUUGUAUGGUGAAUAGCCAGAAGAGGCCGCAGAGAAUAGGUGGCUGCGACUGUUUAUUAAAAACAUAGCACUCUGCAAACACGAAAGUGGAAGUAUAGGGUGUGACGCCUGCCCGGUGCUGGAAGGUUAAUUGAUGUGGUGCAAGCUAUUGAUCGAAGCCCCAGUAAACGGCGGCCGUAACUAUAACGGUCCUAAGGUAGCGAAAUUCCUUGUCGGGUAAGUUCCGACCUGCACGAAUGGCGUAACGAUGGCCACACUGUCUCCUCCUGAGACUCAG